Lynx canadensis (Canada lynx) is the source of this 115-nucleotide ribosomal RNA. Lineage: Eukaryota; Metazoa; Chordata; Mammalia; Carnivora; Felidae. The record is from Ensembl.
GUCUACGGCCAUACCACCCUGAACGUGCCUGAUCUCAUCUGAUCUCGGAAGCUAAGCAGGGUCGGGCCUGGUUAGUACUUGGAUGGGAAUCAAGGUAACUCUGGUCUCAUAGAAU